GUAUAUUGAAUUGAAAUCAUCAAUUCCUCUGUUAGUAAUUCUGCUUCUUCCUUCAAUUGUUUCUGAGGAGAAAGUUCUCUAUUGAUUCUGGAAAAUGAAAAUAAUGCAUAACUUAAAUGAAGCACAUUAGCACAUUGAAAAAAAUAGUCAUUGAACUACUAUAUAACAUGCAUUACUUCUCAAAAUAAUGUUCCAAGCUAUGCGAUUGACGAUCCUUUGAAUGGUUUCCAAAGCUAACUAAUUCUCCUAAAAAGAGACGAGUUCAAAAUGAAAAAGAAAAGAGACAAGGAAUUGAAUGAUUCCCACAGUAAAAAAAGGGAAGCGAUGUCGAGGGGGCAGAAACAUCGAGAAAAGUAAGAUCGUGUAACGCCCCCACGCCCGAGACCAUCUCCGGAGUUGAGCUUGAGGGGUUACCGAACAAUAUUUAUCAAAUUAAGAACUUCAAAUCAUUUAUUUCUACAUUCACAGCUUUCUAACUACCCGCGUCACAGUUACAAGAAAAAUCAUAUCUCGAGUUACGAAACUCAAAAUCUAGAUCCGUAAAUUUUCCAUAAAUCUAGAUUCAUAUAUCUAUUUACUAAUUUUUUUCUAGAAUUUUUUGUUGGGCCAAUUAGUACAGUUUAUUAGUUAAAGUCUCCCCUGUUUCAGGGUUCGACUGCUCUAACCUCUGUGUAUUACGAAUCAGAUAUUUCUCUAUACAGAAAUUAAAUGACUAUGAGGUUUGUUUCUAAUAAAACUAGACUCAAUAAAGAACCUGUAAAUAUAAAGAAAAACUUCUAAUUAUUUUUUUAAAAUUUAUUAUGAAUUUUUAAAGUCAGAACAGAGGAUCCAAAAAUCACUCUGGCCCUGUUUCACAAGGUUUCAAAUAUCUCAUAAAGUAUAAUUUAUAUGCCUCUUUUUUUUAUCUAUAUGAAGAUAGACUCAUUAAGCUUCAAUUUCAUAACUUGCUAAUCAUUUAAUUCCAUUUAUACUAUUUUUAGUGAUUUUUCAAAUUCAUGUCAUUGCUGCAGCAAUAUUCUGUUUUAAGGCGAAUUUCAUCUUUUCAUGAGUUGUUAUGAACUAGAUAACCUAUUAAACUUCCAUGAUAUCAAACAUGAACUAAAUUUAACCAUCACCAUGACUUAUCAAUAUCAAACAUUUUCUCAACCAAUCAUGGCCAUAUCAUAAAAUUAUUUACACAAAAUAAAUAUAUAGCUAUACAUGCCAUACUUAAGUUUUACAAGCCAUUUACCCAGAUGAAAGUCCUUUGGAUAGUGUGAUCGAACCUUCGACCCGUCCCGAUUCCCGAGCUGGCUUGUUCAAAACUACAGUAAAUAAAGAGGAGGGAGUAAGCAUAAAUGCUUAGUAAGUUCAUAUGUAAAUGACAAGUAACAUAACAAUACAAAUAUACCAAACAACUUUAGCAUGGUAUCACCAAAACAUAUAUCAUAUUUCUAAACAUCAUUCAUCAUCUUACUACCUUAUCGUUGUUGUAUCUAUUAUCAACCCGAGGGUUAAGAACAUACCUGUCCAAAGUGUCCAUUUCACAACACUUACCAAAACGUCGCUUGCAUCUUAAGUGUUCUUUCAUUUCACUAGAAAUUUCACCCGUUGAACACAUCGGAAUACAACUCGGAUACACGGAUAAUUUGCACAUAAGUGCCUCAUAUGUAAUCAAGAAAUCAUGUAACCCGCCCCUAAGUGAACUUGGACUCAACUCAACGAGCUCGGGCGUUCGCAUCCAUAAGUGAACUCGGACUCAACUCAAUGAGUUCGGAUGCCUAGUUACAUCUCACGAACUCGGACUCAACUCAACGAGUUCGGACAUUUGCAUCCAUAAAUGAACUCGGACUCAACUCAACGAGUUCGGAUGCUCAACCAUCCUAGUGACAUGUCACUUGUAUCCUAAUCUAUUCCUAAGGUUCAAACGGGCUUUUUCCCUCGAUCUCAUAUUUGCCGUCUUCCAUGGAAUAUCGGAAUCGAUACUCGGUAGCAAUUCAUAUUUAUCAAGUAGUAAACAUAAUUUGCAUAUUACUCAACAUUAACCACAAAGCAUAAUAUUUCACGAUUAAAAAUCAGCGUAUCAUAUAAUUAACAUCAAUAACUUAAAAAUAACAAUUAUGCUACAUUAUUUACACAUGAACUUACCUUGGUACCAAAAUAUAAAGAUUUUGCAAUUUAGUCCACAAUCUUUUCUUUUCCUCGAUCACGACUUGAAUCUCGUUUUUCUUGAU
RNAcentral lists this long non-coding RNA (2213 nucleotides) under Gossypium barbadense (sea-island cotton). RNAcentral's name for it is "long non-coding RNA (GBAR_LNC009161)". The record is from RNAcentral. Lineage: Eukaryota; Viridiplantae; Streptophyta; Magnoliopsida; Malvales; Malvaceae.